CAGAACACAUUCAACUGUAUUUUUCCUCCUUCUGCAGACUCAACAGAUAACACCACAAUUGGCCCUCCAAGUCCUUUUACAGUUUGAUAAAGCUAUCAACACAGCACUGGCCAACCGGGUCCGCAACAGGGUCAAUUUUAGGGGAUCUCUGAACACGUACAGAUUCUGUGAUAACGUUUGGACAUUUGUUUUAAAUGACGUUGAGUUCCGGGAGGUGACAGAUUUGGUCAAAGUGGACAAAGUAAAAAUUGUAGCAUGUGAUGGCAAAAACACUGGGUCUAAUGCACCUGAGUGAAAUCAAGGUGGAGAGAGAAGGGAACUGAAUUUGCUGGCUGAUGGGAAGGACGAGAAGAAUUGAAGAUGAGGCACACAGUGGUGGGGACUGUGUAUAUAUUAUUUAUUACAGGAAACAGUUCUCCAGCCUUCAUACAUCAACCUGCUCAGUGGAGGACUGGCAAACGUAUGGAGCACACAAGGCCUUGGAUGUCACAUGAAAUUUUUCUUGUUAUAAAUAAAUAUAUAUAAUUUUCAUAGAAAUGGCAAUGCUUUUCAGUUUGU
Molecule: long non-coding RNA, 558 nt
Organism: Sinocyclocheilus grahami
Lineage: Eukaryota; Metazoa; Chordata; Actinopteri; Cypriniformes; Cyprinidae
Exons: 3
Source: RefSeq, a predicted model, not a curated record